This 86-nucleotide transfer RNA is filed under the name Eutypa lata UCREL1. RNAcentral describes it as "tRNA-Leu (CAG) (tRNA-Leu-CAG-2-1)". Lineage: Eukaryota; Fungi; Ascomycota; Sordariomycetes; Xylariales; Diatrypaceae. The record is from RNAcentral.
GUUCCAGUUGUGCAACGGGUAUAGUCACGUUCGGGCUCAGAACCUUGUGCUGGAAGAGUCCCAGGUUCGAAUCCUGGGCUGGGACA